This 480-nucleotide ribosomal RNA is filed under the name uncultured bacterium. Its description in RNAcentral is "bacterial SSU rRNA". It matches the Rfam family "Bacterial small subunit ribosomal RNA", at positions 28 to 506 of the family's 1533-position model. The record is from RNAcentral.
GACGAACGCUGGCGGCGUGCUUAACACAUGCAAGUCGAACGGGGAUUGCCGACGGAAGCUCUUCGGAGUGGAAGAUGGUUAAUUCUAGUGGCGGACGGGUGAGUAACGCGUGAGUAACCUGCCUCGAAGAGUGGAAUAACAGCGAGAAAUCGUUGCUAAUACCGCAUAAGACCACGGUGCCGCAUGGUACAGGGGUCAAAGAUUUAUCGCUUUGGGAUGGACUCGCGUCCCAUUAGCUAGUUGGUGAGGUAACGGCUCACCAAGGCAACGAUGGGUAGCCGGACUGAGAGGUCGAUCGGCCACACUGGGACUGAGACACGGCCCAGACUCCUACGGGAGCAGCAGUGGGGAAUAUUGGGCAAUGGGCGCAAGCCUGACCCAGCAACGCCGCGUGAAGGAAGAAGGUUUUCGGAUUGUAAACUUCUGUCCUCAGGGACGAAAAAUGACGGUACCUGAGGAGGAAGCCCCGGCUAACUACGU